AACAAAGAAGUAAAAAAUUACAUUUAGUUUCGACCUAAACCUAAGGAAUUUAAACCUCAUGUUU
Molecule: transfer RNA, 64 nt
Filed under: Bothrogonia tortilla
Lineage: Eukaryota; Metazoa; Arthropoda; Insecta; Hemiptera; Cicadellidae
Description: tRNA-Arg
Source: RNAcentral